CCGCACUGCGCCCUGAAGAACAGCGAGAACGGCAACUUGUAGGUUGUGUGUUCUUUGCCACAAUGAUAAUGAAAGGUCGUGCUCACUCUGGGCUCUGACGCAAUGAAAACGAAGCCAACAGCGUAGCUGGGAUCGGCUGGUCCGGCGAGGUCCCGCCCCGCCCGGACGGCCACCUGCGCCCCGCUACGGCCUCACCUCCGUGCCCGGCUGCUCGGCCCGGUUCGGGCGCACAGCCCGGGCCGCGCGGGUGGAUCCACGGCCAUCGCCGCGGGAGCCGCGGGCGGCGGAGCGGAGCCGACAGAGCCACCGGCCCCGGGACCAGCCGACCCACCUGGACACCCCGCACCCCGGACCCGGGGGACACCCCCAUGGCCGCGCGAGGCCCCGAAGCCCCCAGCGGGCGCGCGCUGCGGGACGCGGCAGAAAAUCUAUUUCAGGAACUUCAAGAACACUUUCAAGCUCUGACUGCAACGUUAAACCUGAGAAUGGAAGAAAUGGGAGGUCGCAUUGAAGACUUGCAGAAGAAUGUGAACGACUUGAUGGUGCAAGCUGGGAUUGAAAGUUCCGCUCAGGAGAAAAUGGCGAGGCCUUAUUAAGGCACUAAGGCUGGUUGCCUCUGUGUCAGCUGCCAUGUCUAAUUCCUGGACUUUGCAUAAAAGCCAUCCUGGGAAGGUCGGGAAACAGAAGUCACUCGAUGCCCAGAGAACCAGGGAAAUGACGGUGAGCGUCUUUUCAGGUGAUUACUGGCUACAGUAUUUGUUUUGAAUCCUGGCUCACAGCUGCAAAACCUUCGGAAUUUCCAGCAACAAGAGUGAUGGGAUAUUUGGACUCUAGUCCUCCGUUCCUGAAGACACUUUAGGGCCAUAAAGGUGAAACGGGUGCAUAAGCACCCUUUCUGUCACAGUGAGUUUGCUAAUGAAGGUGACUUCUAGAUCCCACCAGCAGGGUGCGCAAGAAUCGCCUGUUGGCGUAGGGAAGCCUGCACACACGCGCACACGCGCACACGCUGCAACUGGGCCUGGGAACCCCUUUAUCAUCUGUCCCCUUGCAUCUCCCUGGUUCCCCGUGCUAAUUUACUCAGCUGUUGCCAUCAGAUGACGGUCUGUGAUAGGAGGAAGCCUGUCUUAUCUGACUGAAUGUCCCAGCACUAGACAUAAAAGCCAGCAGGACUCUAUACGUAUAUAUACUUGGUGAAUAAAUUAAAAUACUGUUACUACUUGUCUUAGAAUCCUGGAAUCCCGGGUCACAGAAACAGUAGGUUUUGUCCCCUUUUCCAAGUGCAGCAUCAGUCCCAAACCAUCAAAACACACGGUGGCCGCAGCGCCACUCGACUCCUUUCUGCAACCUCCUUCCCCGUCAGGGCAGCCCCGCCCAGGUGGGCCCUACAUAGUGCAGUGCCCACGGCCCACCUGGAGGGCUCUGGGAAAACGUGAGAAGCAUGGCAGGAAAGGCCGAGAUUGCCUUAAACAGACUGUUAGUGGAAACGUGGCUUGGAAGAAGAUGGGGAUGCAUUUCGGGGAGUGGAGGAAAGGGAUCCUUGCUGCACAGCGGCAGAAUGUCUGUGACGCUCCAAAGUGAUGAGCAUGGAUACCAGCCGAGGACACGUAAGCAAAGUCUUGAAGGCGCUGCCUGGGUUCGUACUGCUUAUAGUAAAAGGAGGGAGACAAACCAGAGUAAGAUCCGUUAACCCAAAAGAUUUCUCAGCCUCUCCAGAUAGCAAAAGAUGCUGAAAUCCAGAAAUGGCUGCUGAGCUGUUGACACAGAGGCCACACCACCUUCUGCUGAAACCUAGUAAAGACCUAAAAGUCAGACGGUUCAGUCACAGGACAGGAUCUUCCCCCAGGAAGCAGCCAUCGGACAGAGGGCAGCCCCGGUGCCCAGGACAGAAACCUGACUGGCUCAGGCUAAGAGGGACAGAGCACGCAGUGAGAGGGGCUGAUGCAACCCCAAAAUGCUGCUGGCAGGAAGCAGGUUGAAAAAUGAACCAGCUGCAAAUGGCUUUCAUAAAAAAGGCAGGAAAAACUGGGUAGAACCCUCCCAGGGGGAGGCACUGGGCCAGGACUAUGGUCCCAGUGCCGCAUCAGAGCCCCCUUCCGAACCCUGACGCCCCACGGUGAACCCAAAUCGCUUCUUGUGCCUGUCCCACACUGCGUCCUGGAGAGGGGGCCACAGAUACGGAGCUGUGUCCAGGAGCUGUGCUUAAUGGGUCACCUGGGAAGCCUCAUCCACACCCAGUUUUGCACAUGGGAGGGAUAUGAAUCUUUGGGAGUCGGAGGGCAGGCUGCAGUAGGCAAAAUGCUAAAAUAACCCCUGCUACUUCCCGCCCUAAUCCCUGGGACGGUGCUAUGAUGGGACACCAUGCCUCUGAUCAGUUACACUACACUGCAAAGGGAAUUCUGCAGAUGUCCCUGAGGUUACUCCUCAGUUCAUUUGAAAAUAAGGAGACUCUCCUGGAUUACUGGGUGAGUCUAAUCCAAUCACAAGCGCCCUCUGAAAGCAGAACAGGAAGUUGGAGCAGCUGUACGAAAAGGACUCAACUCACUGCUCAGGGCUUCGAAGACAGAGGGGCCUCUAGAGGCAGAGAGCGGCCCUGGCGGAAAGAGACCUCAGACCCCCAAUCACCGGGAGAUGGAUCCAGCCCACAGCCCCGGUGAGCCAAGUGGAUUCUUCCCUGACCAACUGCCUACAUGACAGCCCAGCCCGUGACUCUGGCCUUGUGAGACCCCGAGGCAGAACCCACUGAGCCUGCCUGGACUCCGCCCUGCAGACCUUGAGCUCAUAAAUGGUGUUGUUUUCAGCCACCAAGUUUGUUACAGAAAAUAGAAACCGAAUACACACCCUGCACACUCCACCCAGACCUUCCUCGACCAUUAGGGAGCUCUGCUUCUGCAGUACGGCCUAAUGUUUAUAUUGCUACUUACUAACUUUUGUAGUAACAAUAAACAGUACGAAAUUUUGACAAGUAAAAACAGUGAUUUUUUUUUUUUAAAAAUGGUGAUUUCUUUCCAAAUUAAACCUCCACAACAGAAUUUUUUUUUCACUCAUGAUGUUACUUAACUUUAUUAUAUAAAUACCAUCAAAGGUAUUUGCGUCUGCAUCAGACUCUUGUGUACCUAACUCUGCAUUUUCCUUUCAUGCAAAGCCUGCCAAUCAUGGGUACAAAUUAAUUUAAGGUGAUUAGAGAAAGUCUAUUCCUUGAGCCCAUGACUGACUGACUAGGGUACACAAUAGAAUUUUUCAGCUGAUAAAAGAUUUUUUACAAGAUUCUGUAUUUAUAAGCAAAGUAAUUAAGUACAGGUUUUCCUCUUGGAUAUCACAAAAGGAUGCUAAAUAGAGUCACUGAUACAUUUAAAAAGUGAGUUAUUUUAAAGACAUUUUUCAUCAACAGAUUAAAUUUAAAGGUAUCUUAAAUUUCAGUAAGAAUGUCUUCCAUUUAAUAACACUUCCCCUAGGUUCCUGGGCAGUUAUUUCAAAACGGCAAUUUGUUACUGAGUAAAUGCUAAAACUGGAAUUGUUACUUUGAAAAUUAUUUAAAAGAUUGAUUGCCUGGUGAUACAAACUAUAUUAUAAUAUGACUGCAUAACUGAUUUCCUCCUAAAUAAAAGAAUCUAAAGAUUUCUUGAUCUCAUUAAACUUCCAGACCAUCUAUUCAAUUUAAACAACAACUUUAAGAUAAGAGAACAUACCUGAAGAAAAACAUGACAGUGCACGGAUCGUAUAACUCAUACAUUUUGUUGAAGUCAGGUACUUCUGUAAUAUCCACAAGAUAAAUAACUGCGAAAUUUUUAACCUAAAAGUAAAGGAGAUUGGGGGAAAAAAACUAAAAUAACAAAUCAACUUUUUAUUCUGUAAAAGCACAUUCAAAAACAAAAACAGAAGAAUUUGUGUAUAACAGGACAAUCUUCAAACUGACUCUGCAACAUUUUUUCCCAGUAGAGCUGCCAUGUAGGAAAUUACUUCAAGAGGAUCAGGGUCCUGAGCAACUGUCCAUUAACAUCUCGUUUAAUGUUUUUCAGAACAGCAAGUUAUGAGAAUCCUGCAGAAGACGUCCACAGAUACAUUAUUCACGCUGAUCUAUUAAUAAUCUACAUGAACUUUUCCAAUUUGGACUUUCACAAAUACUGAAUUACACGCAUUAAACAACUGCUUUAAAACAUGACUUUGGAAUUCAGCCACACACUCCCCUCUUACUGAGCUGCAAGCUCAUCAGAGAACAUCUGGAAAACCCAGAAAACCAUAAAUAAAACAACCUUCAACCCCGACACGCAGAGCUGACUGCUGAGAAUACACUUUCACUAUAUCCUUCCCCAUUUUUUCUGGAAAAGGGCCAUGUGAAAACACACCAAGGGAGAAGCCACAUGAACACGGAGGAUUGGAGUGACGCACACCUAUAAGCCAAGGAGUGCCACAGAUCGCGGAAGACGUCAGGAGUUGGAAGAAACAAGAGGGGGUUCUCCCUUGAGGGUUUCAGAGGGAGCACGGCCCUGCUGACACCUUGAUUUCGGACUUCUGAGCUCCAGGAUGUGAG
Non-coding RNA from Delphinapterus leucas (beluga whale), 4528 nucleotides. NCBI's taxonomy places the organism in Eukaryota, Metazoa, Chordata, Mammalia, Artiodactyla, Monodontidae. The record is from RefSeq and is a predicted model, not a curated record.